GUAGGUGGCAAGCGUUGUCCGGAAUUAUUGGGCGUAAAGCGCGCGCAGGCGGUCCUUUAAGUCUGAUGUGAAAGCCCACGGGCUCAACCGUGGAGGGUCAUUGGAAACUGGGGGACUUGAGUACAGAAGAGGAAAGCGGAAUUCCAAGUGUAGCGGUGAAAUGCGUAGAGAUUUGGAGGAACACCAGUGGCGAAGGCGGCUUUCUGGUCUGUAACUGACGCUGAGGCGCGAGAGCGUGGGGAGCAAACAGGAUUAGAUACCCUGGUAGUCCACGCCGUAAACGAUGAGUGCUAAGUGUUAGGGGGUUUCCGCCCCUUAGUGCUGCAGCUAACGCAUUAAGCACUCCGCCUGGGGAGUACGGCCGCAAAGGCUG
Molecule: ribosomal RNA, 373 nt
Filed under: uncultured organism
Description: partial 16S ribosomal RNA
Rfam family: Bacterial small subunit ribosomal RNA
Source: RNAcentral